RNAcentral lists this ribosomal RNA (197 nucleotides) under uncultured bacterium. RNAcentral describes it as "partial 16S ribosomal RNA". It matches the Rfam family "Bacterial small subunit ribosomal RNA", at positions 1303 to 1500 of the family's 1533-position model. The record is from RNAcentral.
GGCUGAAAUUCGCCUUCAUGAAGCUGGAAUUGCUAGUAAUGGCAGGUCAGCAUACUGCCGUGAAUACGUUCCCGGGCCUUGUACACACCGCCCGUCACACCAUGAGAGUUGGGAAUACCCGAAGCCUGUGAGCUCACUUAUAGAGGCAGCAGUCGAAGGUAGAAUCAAUGAUUGGGGUGAAGUCGUAACAAGGUAAC